This 374-nucleotide ribosomal RNA is filed under the name uncultured bacterium. RNAcentral describes it as "bacterial SSU rRNA". It matches the Rfam family "Bacterial small subunit ribosomal RNA", at positions 524 to 898 of the family's 1533-position model. The record is from RNAcentral.
UACGUAGGGAGCAAGCGUUGUCCGGAAUUACUGGGCGUAAAGGGUGCGUAGGCGGCUAGGCAAGUCAGAUGUGAAAUACCCAGGCUUAACUUGGGGGGUGCAUUUGAAACUGCUUGGCUUGAGUGCAGGAGAGGAAAGCGGAAUUCCUAGUGUAGCGGUGAAAUGCGUAGAUAUUAGGAGGAACACCAGUGGCGAAGGCGGCUUUCUGGACUGCAACUGACGCUGAGGCACGAAGGCGUGGGGAGCAAACAGGAUUAGAUACCCUGGUAGUCCACGCUGUAAACGAUGGAUACUAGGUGUGGGGGAGAUACAACCUCCGUGCCGGAGCAAACGCAAUAAGUAUCCCGCCUGGGGAGUACGGUCGCAAGGCCGAA